Molecule: ribosomal RNA, 109 nt
Filed under: Klebsiella michiganensis
Lineage: Bacteria; Pseudomonadati; Pseudomonadota; Gammaproteobacteria; Enterobacterales; Enterobacteriaceae
Source: RNAcentral
CCUGGCGGCACUAGCGCGGUGGUCCCACCUGACCCCAUGCCGAACUCAGAAGUGAAACGCCGUAGCGUAGUGUGGGGUCUCCCCAUGUGAGAGUAGGGAACUGCCAGGC